AUUGAACGCUGGCGGCAGGCCCAACACAUGCAAGUCGAACGGUAACAGGAAGCAGCUUGCUGCUUUGCUGACGAGUGGCGGACCGGUGAGUAAUGUCUGGGAAACUGCCUGAUGGAGGGGGAUAACUACUGGAAACGGUAGCUAAUACCGCAUAACGUCGCAAGACCAAAGAGGGGGACCUUCGGGCCUCUUGCCAUCGGAUGUGCCCAGAUGGGAUUAGCUAGUAGGUGGGGUAACGGCUCACCUAGGCGACGAUCCCUAGCUGGUCUGAGAGGAUGACCAGCCACACUGGAACUGAGACACGGUCCAGACUCCUACGGGAGGCAGCAGUGGUGAAUAUUGCACAAUGGGCGCAAGCCUGAUGCAGCCAUGCCGCGUGUAUGAAGAAGGCCUUCGGGUUGUAAAGUACUUUCAGCGGGGAGGAAGGGAGUAAAGUUAAUACCUUUGCUCAUUGACGUUACCCGCAGAAGAAGCACCGGCUAACUCCGUG
RNAcentral lists this ribosomal RNA (490 nucleotides) under uncultured bacterium. RNAcentral describes it as "partial 16S ribosomal RNA". It matches the Rfam family "Bacterial small subunit ribosomal RNA", at positions 30 to 507 of the family's 1533-position model. The record is from RNAcentral.